GUGCUCGCUUCGGCAGCACAUAUACUAAAAUUGGAACCAUACAGAGAAGAUCAUCAUGGCCCCUGCACAAGGAUGACACUUAAAUUCAUGAAGGGUACCAUAUUUUU
Loxodonta africana (African savanna elephant) is the source of this 107-nucleotide small nuclear RNA. The record is from Ensembl. Lineage: Eukaryota; Metazoa; Chordata; Mammalia; Proboscidea; Elephantidae.